AUGCACGCUGGCGGCGUGCCUAAUACAUGCAAGUCGAGCGAACAGACGAGGAGCUUGCUCCUCUGACGUUAGCGGCGGACGGGUGAGUAACACGUGGAUAACCUACCUAUAAGACUGGGAUAACUUCGGGAAACCGGAGCUAAUACCGGAUAAUAUAUUGAACCGCAUGGUUCAAUAGUGAAAGACGGUUUUGCUGUCACUUAUAGAUGGAUCCGCGCCGCAUUAGCUAAUUGGUAAGGUAACGGCUUACCAAGGCAACGAUGCGUAGCCGACCUGAGAGGGUGAUCGGCCACACUGGAACUGAGACACGGUCCAGACUCCUACGGGAGGCAGCAGUAGGGAAUCUUCCGCAAUGGGCGAAAGCUUGACGGAGCAACGCCGCGUGAGUGAUGAAGGUCUUCGGAUCGUAAAACUCUGUUAUUAGGGAAGAACAAAUGUGUAAGUAACUAUGCACGUCUUGACGGUACCUAAUCAGAAAGCCACGGCUAACUACGUG
Molecule: ribosomal RNA, 496 nt
Filed under: uncultured bacterium
Lineage: Bacteria
Description: partial 16S ribosomal RNA
Rfam family: Bacterial small subunit ribosomal RNA
Source: RNAcentral